UGGGGGGGGAAAAAAUUCCCAAACGUGUGAAAAAGCAGUAGCCCCCUAAAAUCUGCCAUUUUUGGUGGCAACAGAUGCCAUCCAGUGUUUACUGGCAAUGUGUUUUUCACAUUUCUGUGGAGGAAUUUUGGCUCACUUUCAGCUGCAGAACUAUUUUAAUAAAGGUACUUUGGUGGCCAGUGUCUGUUUAAGCUCAUGCCACAGAAACUCAAUUGGAUUUAAGUCCCACCGUUGAAUGAACCACUGCAAAACCUAAUUAAUUUUAGACACAGCAAUGAGUCACUGUCUGACUCAUUGCUGCAUAACCAACAUUUGCUUCAGUUUAAGAUUUCAAACUGAUGGACAAACCUUUUCCCUCAAGGUUUUCCACUAUUGAGGAAUUAAUGCCAAUAACAGCAAGUCCUGAAGCAGCAAAGGAACCUCACAUUAAAAGCUUAGUUUUACAUAGCACAUCUUCCACAAACUUGUGUUUCAUUAAUCCACAGAACAUUUCCCCAAGUCUUCAGGAUCAUCAAUAAGCCCAUCGGUUCAUCGGCUAUACCUGCUCUUCCUUCCAGGGUCACAAUGGGAUGGUGCCAAUCUCCAGCAGUCAUCAGGAACUCAGCCAUGGAUGCCAUUGUUGCCCAAUUUCUCUAUUGCUAUUACAGUCAUGAACAGACCAUUGCACUGAGGUAGGUGAGGCCUGCUGUGCUGUAGAUGUUGCUCUAGGUCAUAGUAAUAACUCCUUGGAUAAGUUGUUGAUGCCCUUGUGGAGUAAUUUUGGUAGUUUAACCACUCUUGGAAAGGCUUUUGUAACAUUUUCUGCAAUGGUAGAUGGAGAUAACUUUGUUAUUCACUUUUUUGAUAUUUACUACAUCAGGGAACAAUGCUAGUUUCAUGUGUCUUAGUACAAAAAACUAUAUUUAAUAAAGAAGAUGCAAUAUUGUACACUGAUGGCAUUAAACAUUAACCAAGUGCCUCAAACCACAUUUUUAGGAGUUGUUGUUGAUGAGAAACUAACUUGGAAACAACAUACUGAACUAGUAUGUAGAAAUAUGGUCAAAUCAAUUAAUUAUAUACUUCUAAUACCACAUUAGUAGUAGAUAACUUCUAUUAUAAAGAUAUAAAAUUAACUCUGUAUGGAUAAGAGAAAAUGAACAAAAGUCAAACUUGAGCAUCCUCUUUAAAAACAACAAAAAUUGCAGCUUGUAUAAUCAAUCGAUUCCAUUCAUAUUUAUUGCAAAUUUGCUUUCAUAAGAACUGUGUAAAGAUUAUGAAUCAAUGUGAAGUCUUAUACAAAGUUAAUAGCACCUGUUUUUGCCUGGUGACUUCAUGUGUUGAUCAUGUGAAAUCUAAUUGUUUUUAAUUGCUGAACCUAGAGGGCCGAAUGUCUCUCUACAUACCUGCACUCAAACCGUCUGUAAAAUCACCAACACUGUUAUUAUAAAGCCAUAGUGCAAAUGAAUCAUCAAAAGUAAAGAAAAAAGUUUGACAGUUCAAUAAAAAAAUAUUUCAGCUGUUGCUACA
Long non-coding RNA from Xiphophorus couchianus (Monterrey platyfish), 1506 nucleotides. RefSeq lists it as uncharacterized. The record is from RefSeq and is a predicted model, not a curated record. The transcript has 2 exons. NCBI's taxonomy places the organism in Eukaryota, Metazoa, Chordata, Actinopteri, Cyprinodontiformes, Poeciliidae.